Drosophila melanogaster (fruit fly) is the source of this 532-nucleotide non-coding RNA. NCBI's taxonomy places the organism in Eukaryota, Metazoa, Arthropoda, Insecta, Diptera, Drosophilidae. The record is from Ensembl.
CAAUGGAGGAAAGGAAAGGAAAUUAGUAUUAAGUGAAAUGUAAUGAUGACAACGCCAACUGAAAAUCGCCAGCUGACAAUAAUGAGCUGGCCGGCACAAAAGAUACCGCUUUCCUUAAGCUCCUUUCGACAAUUACAGAGAUGGGGGCUGAUACGGGAAAACCAACGGCGCAGUUAAGCGCAUUUUUCCAAGCGAACUUUUUACUCAAGCGGCGGAGAAAAAGGGAAACCAAUACGCAUAAAUAAUAAAAAGAGCAUCAUUGUGGGCGGGCGGGUGCGAGGGCGCAAGUGAAAACAUAAAUCAUUGACUCUGAAAUGAAAAGCUUUGCGCAACAAGUCGUCGAAACAAUAAAAAACCUAGCCCCACCCUAAAUCCAGCGCGGAAUCCCAACUCUGCCGGUUCAAAGGUGCCGGCGAACAUUUGACCGACAGGAAUGAAAUAUAUGUUAAAUUGAAAAAAAAAAAAAUUAGAAUUAAUGGCCAUGGAAAUGUAAUGCGGGCAGAAGAAAAACUUGAAGCGGCAGAAAUAUGAG